UACGGAGGGUGCAAGCGUUAUCCGGAUUUACUGGGUUUAAAGGGUGCGUAGGUGGAUUUGUAAGUCAGUGGUGAAAUCUCCGAGCUUAACUCAGAAACUGCCAUUGAUACUAUAAAUCUUGAAUGCUCUGGAGGUAAGCGGAAUAUGUCAUGUAGCGGUGAAAUGCUUAGAUAUGACAUAGAACACCAAUUGCGAAGGCAGCUUACUACACAGUUAUUGCCACUGAGGCACGAAAGCGUGGGGAUCAAACAGG
Molecule: ribosomal RNA, 253 nt
Filed under: uncultured bacterium
Lineage: Bacteria
Description: partial 16S ribosomal RNA
Rfam family: Bacterial small subunit ribosomal RNA
Source: RNAcentral